This 220-nucleotide unclassified non-coding RNA is filed under the name Thelephoraceae sp. 'Taylor #5'. RNAcentral's name for it is "ITS2". Lineage: Eukaryota; Fungi; Basidiomycota; Agaricomycetes; Thelephorales; Thelephoraceae. The record is from RNAcentral.
AACACCUCAACUCUCACGGUUCGCCGCGAUGAGCUUGGACUUUGGGGGUUUUGCUGGCCUGCGGGUCGGCUCCUCUCAAAUGGAUCAGCUUGCCAGUGUUUGGUGGCGUCACAAGUGUGAUAACUAUCUACGCUCGUGGUCGUCCGCCAGGUAACCUUCAGUGAUGGAGGUUCGCUGGAGCUCAUAGACGUCUCUCCUCGGCGAAGACAGCUUUUUGAAC